RNAcentral lists this ribosomal RNA (255 nucleotides) under uncultured bacterium. RNAcentral describes it as "partial 16S ribosomal RNA". It matches the Rfam family "Bacterial small subunit ribosomal RNA", at positions 214 to 469 of the family's 1533-position model. The record is from RNAcentral.
UUCACUACUUGAUGAUCCCGCGUUGUAUUAGCUAGUUGGUAGUGUAAAGGACUACCAAGGCGAUGAUACAUAGCCGACCUGAGAGGGUGAUCGGCCACACUGGGACUGAGACACGGCCCAGACUCCUACGGGAGGCAGCAGUAGGGAAUCUUCGGCAAUGGGGGCAACCCUGACCGAGCAACGCCGCGUGAGUGAAGAAGGUUUUCGGAUCGUAAAACUCUGUUGUUAGAGAAGAACGUUAAGUAGAGUGGAAAA